This 218-nucleotide ribosomal RNA is filed under the name Shannoniana fluviatilis. Its description in RNAcentral is "partial 16S ribosomal RNA". The record is from RNAcentral. Lineage: Eukaryota; Metazoa; Arthropoda; Insecta; Diptera; Culicidae.
GAUCUUUAUUUUUAUUUAAUAUUAAAUAAAAAGAAUAUAAAAUUUUAUAAUUAAAUUAAAAAUUUUACUGGGGUGGUAUUAAAAUUUAUUUAACUUUUAUUAUUUUUUUUACAUAAAUAUAUGAAUUAUUGAUCCAAUAAUAUUGAUUAAAAAUUUAAGUUACCUUAGGGAUAACAGCGUAAUUUUUUUUUAGAGUUCUUAUCGACAAAAAAGAUUGC